RNAcentral lists this long non-coding RNA (934 nucleotides) under Rattus norvegicus (Norway rat). Its description in RNAcentral is "long non-coding RNA NONRATT025017". Lineage: Eukaryota; Metazoa; Chordata; Mammalia; Rodentia; Muridae. The record is from RNAcentral.
AGAGCAUAGCCACUGACCUUCGGGACUGUUUGCCUAUAGAAGCCAUGCUUUGCUCAGAACAUCUAGCCCUUCAGAAAAUACGACAACAGCCAGAACCCACAGUUCACAUUGAUGCAUUCCUCUAUGAUGAAGACUUUAUUGAUACAUUAUGUGAGGAAGGAAAAAUGAGCAGAAACUACUGUACAGUGUGUGGCUCACACCAAACAGCGCCUUUGGAUUAACAUACAGCUGUCCUCCUGGGUGGAAGAGAUACCUCUGAACUUCGAUGUGUAUGCACAAAGGGACAUUGACCAAGAAGCUCUUCAACAAAUUCAUUUAUAUAAGGUUCUCUAGCACCAAAGCAACGUAGGGUGCUACCUUAACCACAAGUUCUGUGUAUUCCCUUUCACCCUUUGUGUGCCUGACUAUGUGCCAGUAGAUCGCUCUGUGUGACUGCACAUACGGUAGUUGUAUGUGGACAUAAAUAAACUGUAUAAUAAGGAAAUUAAAAUAGUAAGCUGAAAUAUGCCCUUUUAUUUUGUUAGAAACAUAAGCUUACCUGUGUUUAAUUUACAUGUCACAUCCAAAUAAGACUUCUAGGGAGCUGACAGCAACUUCUUUGAUGCAAGGAAGGAGGAAAGGGCAGGCCUCACUGUCUCUGACUUGUUAGGUCUCUGACGACGAGCCUAGCUAGGAUAGAACUAAUCUUUUUAUGUUUUAUUUUUAAAGGUUUCUGGAAAAAAGUGGAACUAGACAGAGCCCCCAAAUAAUAUGUAGACACUUUGGGUAAAGCAGCUUUAAGUCAACCCCAAGGUUCUUUUUCCUUCCUGUAUUUCCCCUUAAUUCCCCAUAGUCGCUUUUUUCCAAGACGGGGUUUCUCUGUAGGUCUGGAAGUUGCUUUAUAGACCAGGCUGGCUCAAAACUCUUCUACCUCUAACUAAAGUCAUGCACCACC